GCAGUCGUGGCCUACUGGUUAGGGGCUUUGGGCUUGGAACCGAAGGAUUGCCGGUUUGAUCCCCGACCAGUGGG
Molecule: transfer RNA, 74 nt
Filed under: Alosa alosa (allis shad)
Lineage: Eukaryota; Metazoa; Chordata; Actinopteri; Clupeiformes; Clupeidae
Description: tRNA-OTHER
Source: RNAcentral